AUUGAACGCUGGCGGCAUGCUUUACACAUGCAAGUCGAACGGCAGCGCGGGCUUCGGCCUGGCGGCGAGUGGCGAACGGGUGAGUAAUGCAUCGGAACGUGCCCAGUAGUGGGGGAUAGCCCGGCGAAAGCCGGAUUAAUACCGCAUACGACCUGAGGGUGAAAGCGGGGGACCGAAAGGCCUCGCGCUAUUGGAGCGGCCGAUGUCGGAUUAGCUAGUUGGUGGGGUAAAGGCUUACCGAGGCGACGAUCCGUAGCUGGUCUGAGAAGACGACCAGCCACACUGGGACUGAGACACGGCCCAGACUCCUACGGGAGGCAGCAGUGGGGAAUUUUGGACAAUGGGGGCAACCCUGAUCCAGCCAUGCCGCGUGCGGGAAGAAGGCCUUCGGGUUGUAAACCGCUUUUGUUCGGGAAGAAAUCCUCUGGGCUAAUACCCCGGGGGGAUGACGGUACCGGAAGAAUAAGCACCGGCUAACUACGUG
RNAcentral lists this ribosomal RNA (484 nucleotides) under uncultured bacterium. RNAcentral describes it as "partial 16S ribosomal RNA". It matches the Rfam family "Bacterial small subunit ribosomal RNA", at positions 28 to 507 of the family's 1533-position model. The record is from RNAcentral.